This is a long non-coding RNA of Amaranthus tricolor (Joseph's coat), 1595 nucleotides long. RefSeq lists it as uncharacterized. NCBI's taxonomy places the organism in Eukaryota, Viridiplantae, Streptophyta, Magnoliopsida, Caryophyllales, Amaranthaceae. The transcript has 5 exons. The record is from RefSeq and is a predicted model, not a curated record.
CUCAAAAAACUUUUUAUUUUAUUAAACCCUUCCCCCCAAAAUCACAUGUCCUUCACACAAAAAACAGGAAAAUUCAAGAAUCCAUAAUUUCUGAAAGCCAAAACUCAUUAGCGGUAGCUACCGAACCGCUGUUACCAGGUCGCACCAUCUUGUCAGCCAACCUCGCUUUGAGUGGCUCCUUAUUCGAGCAACACACAGUUGCUGGUCUUCUCCUUUAAUAAGAAUGAAGAGAAGAAGAUGAUGUGAAGAAAUUAGCCAUGAAAAUUGCAAUAGUUUUAUGCUUGAGAUUGAAGAUGAAGACAUGAGUUAAGUUAGCAAUUGGUGAAUUGCAUUUAAAAAGGAGAAAUUGAUAUUUAAGAGCGUAAGUUAGAGUUGGGAUUCACACGCCUCACCGCAGCAGGCGGCUGCGGGUUUGCUUCCCCUUUGGCUCCGCGCAGCCCUUCUCCACCAUUGUGUCUUGAGUCACGCCACCACCACAAGAACCACCAACCUCUUGACCAUUUUCUAGUUUCUCCAUUGUUCCCAGUUUAUAAGAGGAAAGUAGACUCUUAGUUGGGCGAUUUUUGUAACCUGUGGUCGUGCAGUGACGCUUGCAGCGGGGGGAUCAUAGACAAGCGUAGCAGGUACUGGAACUUCUUUUGCAUUGCAUUGCAUUUGGGGAGAGUGAUGAGGGCGAAGCAUACCCUGUGUCAUACCGCUAUCUUUCGAUUUUGUAGUUUUCUUAUCUUUUGUAAACUUUGGUUGUAUAUGUUUUGUUAUGAGGCUUUGCGUCCUCCCUCGUACAUUUGUAUUUCCGCUGCGUAGUUUAUAGCUCAGUAUGGUUUUAAGGAGUUAAGUCUUUUUAAAACGCAAACGUCGACACUGGAACCACGAUCCAUGCUUGGCAUGUUGAUUUGAGAAGCUGGCGACGAAUCAUUCCACCGUGACAUAGUUUUGAUCGUUGGUGCCUUUACUUUAUUAGUUUCUAAAUAACUUGUUUUUCUACAAAGGCGCACAGUUUGAGGCAGAUGCUGCCGAAAUUUCCACUCACUCACCUUUUUAAAGUUAAUAAUUAACGUUUAUAAAUUCUUUUCUUUUUCUUUUAUGUAACACCCGAAUUUCCUCCUGUCCUUUACGGUUUUGGUUUCGUUAAGGGGUCGGAAAUUUUGGGGUGUUACACAAGUGCAAGGGAAUUAGUAGUCUGAAAACACGAAUGAACGCCUCCAACUAGUUCUAUUUCUAAUCAGGUCCUCAGAGAGGUGUAACUCAUGCAAAUUUACUUUUAUUUGCUCAUCCCAUGUUUUCCUAGGUCUACCUCGACUUCUAUUAUGAUGCUUUUUAUCCUCCUCACAAGGGCGUCAAAAGUCUUUCUAUGCACAUGUCCAAACCAUCUCAAUCUAUUUUCGCGCACCUUUGCCGAAAUAGGGGCAACCCCUAGCCUAUCUCUAAACUCAUGGUUCUUAAUUCGAUCCAUCAAUGUGUUAUCGCACAUCCACCUUAGCAUACGUAUUUCUGUAACUUUCAUCUUAUGUUUAAAAAUCUUUUUUAAAGGCAAAGUAACUUCUAUUUAUGUAUAUGUAUAUAUUUAAGUCCUACCAAUAUAAAUGUGGCUCCAA